This is a long non-coding RNA of Lolium rigidum, 333 nucleotides long. RefSeq lists it as uncharacterized. The transcript is spliced from 2 exons. NCBI's taxonomy places the organism in Eukaryota, Viridiplantae, Streptophyta, Magnoliopsida, Poales, Poaceae. The record is from RefSeq and is a predicted model, not a curated record.
ACCUGAUAAAUGUUCAGUUGCCUUCUUACAGUCUACUUGGUCCGGCAGAUCAUAAACAUCGAGUUGCUUAUACCGCGUGUUGCUCUGGUGGAAGGGCGUUCCUUCCUAUUUACCCCAGCUAGCCGUCUCCUAUGGCUGAGUUAAUUCAUUUCUCAUGGUGGUGUUUAGUCAAAUUGAUUUACGUUAUUUCCAUGAUUUGCUUUAUGUAGGUGGGACUAGGUUUCAGUUCAUUCUCUGAUUGUGUCAUGUUCUACCGUGGAGUUUCUUAUGGUAGCAGCACUACCCGUAGUUUAUUUUGAUGGUUAACUCUGAGAUGUAAAUAUUAGUGAUGAU